CAGUUCCCAGUGGCCCUCCCUCAACAACCAUCUUGGCCUCUUCAAACAAAGUGAAAAGUGGGGAUGACAUCAGUGUGCUCUGCACUGUCCUGGGGGAGCCCGACGUGGAGGUGGAGUUCACGUGGAUCUUCCCAGGGCAGAAGCAGAAAUUGUUACAACCAGCCAAAAUUUGUCAAAAACAGAUAGCUUUGAAUUUAGAGAAGAAGAGCUUAGCUCUAACUCCAGCUCUGUGAGCCCAUGAGCAAUUCUGCAGUUGCAGUGGAAAUUCCUGGGAAAUAAACUAAGAGGAGAUACGCUCUUCACUGUGGUGUCACAGGGCUGUAAAAAUGAAGAAUUUGAAGAAUGAAGGAGGUCAGAGGAUGCAAUUCUUGAGUAUUCCAGCAUUAUUUAUUUGAUCAAAGUAAAAUACACUUCCUAUCACUACAAACUGAGCACAACUACAGUUGUCUACACAUUCAUAUUUUUGACGUGCCAACAUUUUGCAUUCUACAUGAAACAUUUGGUUUAAACAAAAUCUUAAAAAUUCUCUAUUUUGUUUCCCAUCUUCUCUCCUGUUCUCUCCCAUCCUCCGAAGAUGUUUUAUAUUAACUGCUAUGAGAUUUAUUUCCCAGUCACGUAAUACGGAGGACGGCAGGGAA
Molecule: small RNA, 638 nt
Filed under: Pongo abelii (Sumatran orangutan)
Lineage: Eukaryota; Metazoa; Chordata; Mammalia; Primates; Hominidae
Description: processed transcript
Source: RNAcentral